RNAcentral lists this ribosomal RNA (319 nucleotides) under uncultured Pseudomonadota bacterium. RNAcentral's name for it is "bacterial SSU rRNA". It matches the Rfam family "Bacterial small subunit ribosomal RNA", at positions 29 to 351 of the family's 1533-position model. The record is from RNAcentral. Lineage: Bacteria; Pseudomonadati; Pseudomonadota.
AUUGAACGCUGGCGGCAUGCCUUACACAUGCAAGUCGAACGGCAGCACGGGGGCAACCCUGGUGGCGAGUGGCGAACGGGUGAGUAAUGCAUCGGAACGUGCCCAGUAGUGGGGGAUAACCAGUCGAAAGACUGGCUAAUACCGGCAUACGACCUAAGGGUGAAAGCGGGGGACCGUAAGGCCUCGCGCUAUUGGAGCGGCCGAUGUCUGAUUAGCUAGUUGGCGGGUAAAGCCCACAAGGCGACGAUCGGUAGCCGAACUGAGAGGUUGAUCGGCCACAUUGGGACUGAGACACGGCCCAGACUCCUACGGGUGGCAG